This 175-nucleotide ribosomal RNA is filed under the name Enterobacter cloacae subsp. cloacae. Its description in RNAcentral is "partial 16S ribosomal RNA". It matches the Rfam family "Bacterial small subunit ribosomal RNA", at positions 1 to 169 of the family's 1533-position model. The record is from RNAcentral. Lineage: Bacteria; Pseudomonadati; Pseudomonadota; Gammaproteobacteria; Enterobacterales; Enterobacteriaceae.
UUAAAUUGAAGAGUUUGAUCAUGGCUCAGAUUGAACGCUGGCGGCAGGCCUAACACAUGCAAGUCGAACGGUAGCACAGAGAGCUUGCUCUCGGGUGACGAGUGGCGGACGGGUGAGUAAUGUCUGGGAAACUGCCUGAUGGAGGGGGAUAACUACUGGAAACGGUAGCUAAUAC